UACAGAGGUCUCAAGCGUUGUUCGGAAUCACUGGGCGUAAAGGGUGCGUAGACCGUGGGGAAAGUUUGCCGUGAAAUCUUCAGGCUCAACCUGAAAACUGCGGUGAAAACUGCCCUGCUAGAGGUAUGGAGGGGGAACUGGAAUUCUAGGUGUAGCAGUGAAAUGCGUAGAUAUCUAGAAGAACACCAGCGGCGAAAGCGAGUUCCUGGACAUUACCUGACGUUGAGGCACGAAAGCUAGGGGAGCAAACGGG
This 253-nucleotide ribosomal RNA is filed under the name uncultured bacterium. RNAcentral's name for it is "partial 16S ribosomal RNA". It matches the Rfam family "Bacterial small subunit ribosomal RNA", at positions 524 to 776 of the family's 1533-position model. The record is from RNAcentral. RNAcentral also lists the same sequence under 1 other name.